Molecule: ribosomal RNA, 449 nt
Filed under: uncultured bacterium
Lineage: Bacteria
Description: partial 16S ribosomal RNA
Rfam family: Bacterial small subunit ribosomal RNA
Source: RNAcentral
AACGAACGCUGGCGGCAUGCCUAACACAUGCAAGUCGAACGAGAUCUUCGGGUCUAGUGGCGCACGGGUGCGUAACGCGUGGGAAUCUGCCCUUUGGUUCGGAAUAACAGUUGGAAACGACUGCUAAUACCGGAUGAUGACGAAAGUCCAAAGAUUUAUCGCCAGAGGAUGAGCCCGCGUAGGAUUAGCUAGUUGGUGUGGUAAAGGCGCACCAAGGCGACGAUCCUUAGCUGGUCUGAGAGGAUGUUCAGCCACACUGGGACUGAGACACGGCCCAGACUCCUACGGGAGGCAGCAGUGGGGAAUAUUGGACAAUGGGCGAAAGCCUGAUCCAGCAAUGCCGCGUGAGUGAUGAAGGCCUUAGGGUUGUGAAGCUCUUUUACCCGGGAUGAUAAUGACAGUACCGGAAGAAUAAGCUCCGGCUAACUCCGUGCCAGCAGCCGCAGUAA